GGGAAGGAGGCUCAGUGGUAGAGUGCUUGCCUUGCAUGCAUGAGGCCAUGGGUUCAAUUCUUCAUCACCA
This 70-nucleotide transfer RNA is filed under the name Dipodomys ordii (Ord's kangaroo rat). It matches the Rfam family "tRNA". Rfam says of the family: Transfer RNA (tRNA) molecules are approximately 80 nucleotides in length. Lineage: Eukaryota; Metazoa; Chordata; Mammalia; Rodentia; Heteromyidae. The record is from Rfam by way of RNAcentral.